This 506-nucleotide long non-coding RNA is filed under the name Mytilus galloprovincialis (Mediterranean mussel). Lineage: Eukaryota; Metazoa; Mollusca; Bivalvia; Mytilida; Mytilidae. The record is from RNAcentral.
AUGACUAUUAUUGAUUGCUACUAAUGUAUAAAAUUCAUUAUUACAUAAAAAGUAAAUUCUCAAAAUUAAUGAACUCCGAGGAAAAUUUUAAACGAAAAGUCUUUAAUCAAAUGGAAAAAUCAAAUGACAAAACACAUCAAACGAAUGGAUAACAACUGUCAUAUUCCUUACUUCUUACAGGCAUUUUCAAUAUUUUGAUAAAGUUUAUGAAAAAACUAUCCACCAGAGACAAAAUGAUGUACACAUAGAUGUUACAAACUGUUAGUCAUCGUAUGGCCUUCAACAAUGUGCAAAGCCCUUACAGUAUUUCAAGCUUGAAAUGCCCCAUACAAAAUGUAAACUAAUUCAAACGAGACAACAACGUACUGAUUUAUAAAAAAAAUAAGAACAAAACUAAAUUAAAAAAUAAUUAUGUACAGAAAGAAAAGACAACAACUGAAUUGCAAGCACAUACAACAUGUUAUGGGAUUAAAUAUUUUUUGCAAGCGCUCAACCCUCUACACGAC